UACGGGGGGGGCAAGCGUUGUUCGGAAUUACUGGGCGUAAAGGGCUCGUAGGCGGCCCACUAAGUCAGACGUGAAAUCCCUCGGCUUAACCGGGGAACUGCGUCUGAUACUGGAGGGCUUGAGUUCGGGAGAGGGAUGCGGAAUUCCAGGUGUAGCGGUGAAAUGCGUAGAUAUCUGGAGGAACACCGGUGGCGAAGGCGGCAUCCUGGACCGACACUGACGCUGAGGAGCGAAAGCCAGGGGAGCAAACGGG
Molecule: ribosomal RNA, 253 nt
Filed under: uncultured bacterium
Lineage: Bacteria
Description: partial 16S ribosomal RNA
Rfam family: Bacterial small subunit ribosomal RNA
Source: RNAcentral